GGGGGGCGCGCGGGGCCCCGCGGCAGACCCCACGGGGGGCGGCCUCGCUGCCCGCAGCGGCCCGGCCGGGAAAGGGGCGGCGGCGGGGGACCGCAGGCGGGAGCCCGAAGGGGACCGCGCGAGGAGAGCCCCUUUCUGCCCGGGUAACUUACCAGAUUAAAUAUGGUUGAUGAUGGUUCUGAACAAAUACAGCUUUUAUGAGAAAUGUGAAUCCUGAGACUGAAUUCUCUAAAGGGCCUGUACAACGUAAUAGAUGUUGGUGGAACCAUUUACACCCAGUCAGCUUGAAGAGUCUCAAAUGGACCCUACCACUGAGAAAACAAGAUGGCAGUCCACUAUGGGGAAUUGAGGAAAAUGGAUUAAUACAAGAGUGCUGUGAUAAUAUGCAACCAAGACAGGGUUCUUUUAACAUGGAUUUCAUGAAAUGAAUGAAGACAUAGGUUUCUUACCCAGCACAAAUGGACUUUCUAAAGACUUUUUGUAUCAUUAAAACAAGCACAUUUUUGACAUUUGGAGAAGAAAGAUGGCACAUUAACACAAAUGAUAGUUUGUAUGCCUGGAACUUUUUGCAGUUUGAUUUGUAUGAGUAUGACCUUGUGAAAUGUUAACUUUAAUAAAAUUUCUAACACUUUAAAAUUUCUCA
Molecule: long non-coding RNA, 643 nt
Filed under: Felis catus (domestic cat)
Lineage: Eukaryota; Metazoa; Chordata; Mammalia; Carnivora; Felidae
Description: lncRNA (ENSFCAG00000053491.1)
Source: RNAcentral